RNAcentral lists this ribosomal RNA (472 nucleotides) under uncultured bacterium. Its description in RNAcentral is "bacterial SSU rRNA". It matches the Rfam family "Bacterial small subunit ribosomal RNA", at positions 335 to 800 of the family's 1533-position model. The record is from RNAcentral.
ACUCCUACGGGAGGCAGCAGUGGGGAAUAUUGCACAAUGGGCGAAAGCCUGAUCCAGCAAUGCCGCGUGUGUGAAGAAGGCCUUCGGGUUGUAAAGCACUUUUGUCCGGAAGAAAUGGCUCUGGUUAAUACCUGGGUGCGAUGACGGUACCGGAAGAAUAAGGACCGGCUAACUACGUGCCAGCAGCCGCGGUAAUACGUAGGGUCCAAGCGUUAAUCGGAAUUACUGGGCGUAAAGCGUGCGCAGGCGGUUGUGCAAGACCGAUGUGAAAUCCCCGAGCUUAACUUGGGAAUUGCAUUGGUGACUGCACGGCUAGAGUGUGUCAGAGGGGGGUAGAAUUCCACGUGUAGCAGUGAAAUGCGUAGAGAUGUGGAGGAAUACCGAUGGCGAAGGCCAGCCCCUGGAUAACACUGACGCUCAUGCACGAAAGCGUGGGGAGCAAACAGGAUUAGAUACCCUGGUAGGAUAGCGU